This 431-nucleotide long non-coding RNA is filed under the name Arabidopsis lyrata. RNAcentral's name for it is "long non-coding RNA (ALYR_LNC002187)". Lineage: Eukaryota; Viridiplantae; Streptophyta; Magnoliopsida; Brassicales; Brassicaceae. The record is from RNAcentral.
GACUGACAAUAAAUCUCUCAUUAUCACGUGACAAUCGUGGCUUUUCAAGCCUGAUAGCUUUCGACUUUUAACAUCAACACAACUUGAUAAAUUAGAAGCAUAACCGUCUGGGAGUUUUACAUUUUUUAAGACACUUAAAAAAAUGUCCUUCCCAUCAUUGUUCAGAGUAAAACAUGCUGCUUUAUACUUCUCAUUAUCAUCAGGCCACAAGUCAGCACGUAUACCUAGCUCACGGAGAUCUUUUCUAACACUCAGAUUAUCUUUUGAUUUUUUUUUAUCAUCCAAAAAUGUGUAGACUAGAUUGUCAAACACAUUCUUCUCUAUGUGCAUGACAUCCAAAUUAUGCCGCAACAUAAUAAAUUCCCAGUAAGACAACUCAAAAAAUAUACUUCUUUUCUUCCACUGCUGAGUGGUACUUGAAGUUCCACUUC